RNAcentral lists this small RNA (146 nucleotides) under Pongo abelii (Sumatran orangutan). RNAcentral's name for it is "Metazoan signal recognition particle RNA (ENSPPYG00000035489.1)". Lineage: Eukaryota; Metazoa; Chordata; Mammalia; Primates; Hominidae. The record is from Rfam by way of RNAcentral.
GCUGGGCGAGGUGGCGGACGCCUGUAAUUCCGGCUACUCGGGAGGCUGAGGCAGGAGAAUCACUUGAACCCGGGAGACAGAGGUUGCAGUGAGCCAAGAACGCCACUGCACUCCAGCCUGGGCUACAGAGUGAGACUCUGUCUCUC